UACGUAGGGUGCGAGCGUUAAUCGGAAUUACUGGGCGUAAAGCGCGUGUAGGUGGAUUGGUGUGUCAGAUGUGAAAUCCCUGGGCUCAACCCAGGAACUGCACCUGAAACUACCAGUCUUGAGUGGUGGAGAGGGAAGUGGAAUUCCUGGUGUAGAGGUGAAAUUCGUAGAUAUCAGGAGGAACACCAGUGGCGAAGGCGGCUUCCUGGACACCAACUGACGCUGAGACGCGAAAGCGUGGGGAGCAAACAGG
This 253-nucleotide ribosomal RNA is filed under the name uncultured bacterium. RNAcentral describes it as "partial 16S ribosomal RNA". It matches the Rfam family "Bacterial small subunit ribosomal RNA", at positions 524 to 776 of the family's 1533-position model. The record is from RNAcentral.